AAAUGUGCUAAAAUUGGAUUCAACAGCAAAAGUCGCAUAAAUAACAUAUAAAUAACGAAUUUGUUCACCUAUUACAAAUGGGGUUAUGUGGUUGUAACUGUUUAUUUUGGGAAUAAAAUGAAAAUGAUCAAUUAAACGACUGGAAAACUAUAGUGAAGUGAAGAACAUCUUGAAGUUCCAAUGAUGUUUCAAGAUGAGGUAAAUCGAAAUAAUUGUAUGUUAGAAGGACAGAGAAUAUGAAGAAAUGUUAUUGCUGCAUAUUUAGUGUAGUGAAAUACAAACUUCAAACAUUAUAAUAUAUUUUUUGAUUUCAAACAUUUCAUAUGAUUAUGAAAGAACAUCUUUCUUUUUAAAACAAUGAAGAAGUGAAGAACAUAAUAAAGUUCCAACGAAAAUGAUUCCAGAUGAGGAAAAUCGAAAUAAUGGUUGUAUGUUACAUGUAUAGAGAAUACGAAGAAAUGUUAUUGCUGCAAACUUAGUGUAGUGAAUUAAAAACUUAUUGUCAAAUACAAAUCAAUUUAUUUCAUACUUUUAUAAUAUAUAGUGAUAUAAUUUUAUAUGUGUUCAAAUAAAAAUAUUAAUAAAUAAAAUACAAUAAACACAAA
Molecule: long non-coding RNA, 605 nt
Organism: Diabrotica virgifera virgifera (western corn rootworm)
Lineage: Eukaryota; Metazoa; Arthropoda; Insecta; Coleoptera; Chrysomelidae
Exons: 2
Source: RefSeq, a predicted model, not a curated record